GAUGAACGCUGGCGGCGUGCUUAACACAUGCCAGUCGAACGGAAAGGCCCAAGCUUGCUUGGGUACUCGAGUGGCGAACGGGUGAGUAACACGUGGGUGAUCUGCCCUGUACUUCGGGAUAAGCCUGGGAAACUGGGUCUAAUACCGGAUAGGACCACAUUUUGGAUGGUGUGGUGGAAAGUUUUUCGGUGUGGGAUGAGCUCGCGGCCUAUCAGCUUGUUGGUGGGGUAAUGGCCUACCAAGGCGUCGACGGGUAGCCGGCCUGAGAGGGUGUACGGCCACAUUGGGACUGAGAUACGGCCCAGACUCCUACGGGAGGCAGCAGUGGGGAAUAUUGCACAAUGGGCGCAAGCCUGAUGCAGCGACGCCGCGUGGGGGAUGACGGCCUUCGGGUUGUAAACUCCUUUCGCUAGGGACGAAGCGUUAUGUGACGGUACCUGGAGAAGAAGCACCGGCUAACUACGUG
This 466-nucleotide ribosomal RNA is filed under the name uncultured bacterium. Its description in RNAcentral is "partial 16S ribosomal RNA". It matches the Rfam family "Bacterial small subunit ribosomal RNA", at positions 28 to 507 of the family's 1533-position model. The record is from RNAcentral.